GACCAGACUCCUACGGGAGGCAGCAGUGGGGAAUAUUGCACAAUGGGGGGAACCCUGAUGCAGCGACGCCGCGUGGGUGAAGGAGCACCUCGGUGCGUAAAGCCCUAUCGGCAGGGAAGAAACAGACGGUACCUGACUAAGAAGCCCCCGCUAACUACGUGCCCGCCGCCGCGGUAAUACGUAGGGGGCAAGCGUUAUCCGGAUUCACUGGGCGUAAAGGGCGCGUAGGCGGUAAUAUAAGUCAGAUGUGAAAGGUGGGGGCUCAACCCCUAGAGUGCAACUGAUACUGUAUAACUUGAGUGUGAGAGAGGGAAGCGGAAUUCCUGGUGUAGCGGUGAAAUGCGUAGAUAUUAGGAGGAACACCAGUGGCGAAGGCGGCUUUCUGGCUCAUAACUGACGCUGAGGCGCGAAAGCGUGGGGAGCAAACAGGAUUAGAUACCCCAGUAA
This 447-nucleotide ribosomal RNA is filed under the name uncultured bacterium. RNAcentral describes it as "bacterial SSU rRNA". It matches the Rfam family "Bacterial small subunit ribosomal RNA", at positions 329 to 793 of the family's 1533-position model. The record is from RNAcentral.